Molecule: ribosomal RNA, 405 nt
Filed under: uncultured Eubacteriales bacterium
Lineage: Bacteria; Bacillati; Bacillota; Clostridia; Eubacteriales
Description: uncultured Clostridiales bacterium partial 16S ribosomal RNA
Rfam family: Bacterial small subunit ribosomal RNA
Source: RNAcentral
UGGGGAAUAUUGGGCAAUGGAGGCAACUCUGACCCAGCAACGCCGCGUGAGGGAAGAAGGUUUUCGGAUUGUAAACCUCUGUAAUCGGGGACGAAAAAAAUGACGGUACCCGAGAAGUAAGCUCCGGCUAACUACGUGCCAGCAGCCGCGGUAAUACGUAGGGAGCGAGCGUUGUCCGGAAUUACUGGGCGUAAAGGGAGCGUAGGCGGCUCUUUAAGUCAGAUGUGAAAUACCCGUGCUUAACAUGGGGGGUGCAUUUGAAACUGGGGAGCUUGAGUGCAGGAGAGGUAAGUGGAAUUCCUAGUGUAGCGGUGAAAUGCGUAGAUAUUAGGAGGAACACCAGUGGCGAAGGCGACUUACUGGACUGUAACUGACGCUGAGGCUCGAAAGCGUGGGGAGCAAACA